This 483-nucleotide ribosomal RNA is filed under the name Triticum aestivum (bread wheat). RNAcentral describes it as "partial small subunit ribosomal RNA". Lineage: Eukaryota; Viridiplantae; Streptophyta; Magnoliopsida; Poales; Poaceae. The record is from RNAcentral.
AUGGCAUUGCUUCGUGAUCUUUGGAUGCCAAGUAGUCAAUGUUAUAUCACAGGACCGGUUUGGCCAACUAUUGAGGUAGAGAAUUUUGAGCUGAAGCCUGGUCUUAUUGCUUUGGUUCAACAACAACAGUUUGGAGGACUGCCUACUGAGGAUCCCUAUGAGCACUUACACCGAGUCAUGGAGUAUUCAGAUACAGUCAAGUACCAUGGAGUUCCUCAAGAUGCAAUCAUGUGGAGGCUGUUCACAUUCUCCCUCCGCGAUGAUGCUCGUGCUUGGUAUCGAUCCUUGCCAUCAAGGUCAUACAGUUGGAAUGAGAUAUCGCGAGCUUUCUUGGAUAAAUAUUUCCCACUACACAAGCAGUCCGCAAUUCGAGAUGAGAUCUUCAAUUUCGUUCAGCGUGAAGGCGAGAGCUUGUAUGAUGCUUGGGAGAGAUACAAAGCCUUAUCAGGAGAUGUCCUAAUCAUGGGCUCGAGAGAUGGUUAG